GUUUCUGUAGUGUAGCAGUUAUCACGUUCGCCUCACACGCGAAAGGUCCCUGGUUCAAUCCCAGGCAGAAACA
Molecule: non-coding RNA, 73 nt
Organism: Coturnix japonica (Japanese quail)
Lineage: Eukaryota; Metazoa; Chordata; Aves; Galliformes; Phasianidae
Source: the annotation of a RefSeq genome assembly